This 223-nucleotide ribosomal RNA is filed under the name Paenibacillus sp. cl141a. RNAcentral's name for it is "16S rRNA. Bacterial SSU". It matches the Rfam family "Bacterial small subunit ribosomal RNA", at positions 1 to 214 of the family's 1533-position model. The record is from RNAcentral. Lineage: Bacteria; Bacillati; Bacillota; Bacilli; Caryophanales; Paenibacillaceae.
CUUUAUUGGAGAGUUUGAUCCUGGCUCAGGACGAACGCUGGCGGCGUGCCUAAUACAUGCAAGUCGAGCGGACUUGAUGGAGUGCUUGCACUCCUGAAGGUUAGCGGCGGACGGGUGAGUAACACGUAGGCAACCUGCCCUCAAGACUGGGAUAACUACCGGAAACGGUAGCUAAUACCGGAUAAUUUAUUUUGCAGCAUUGUGAGAUAAUGAAAGGCGGAGC